GGGUCAGUAGGUUGGUCGUGCCACCGGUACGUACUGGUCUCACUGAUUCCUCCUUCCUGAAGAACCGUAAUGACAUUAAUUUGGUGUUGCGGGGAAACAGGACUGUUACUUUGAAUAAAUUAGAGUGUUUAAAGCAAGCUAACGCUUGAAUACAUUAGCAUGGAAUAAUGAAAUAGGACGAUGGAUCCUAUUUUGUUGGUUUCUAGGAUUGACGUA
Molecule: ribosomal RNA, 216 nt
Filed under: Glomeromycotina sp.
Lineage: Eukaryota; Fungi; Glomeromycota
Description: partial small subunit ribosomal RNA
Rfam family: Eukaryotic small subunit ribosomal RNA (bases 40-216)
Source: RNAcentral